UACGGAGGGGGCAAGCGUUAUUCGGAAUUAUUGGGCGUAAAGGGCGCGUAGGCGGCUAGAUGUGUCAAAGGUGAAAUCCCUCGGCUCAACUGAGGAACUGCCUUUGAAACUGUCUGGCUUGAGGCCGGGAGAGGGUAGCGGAAUUCCCAGUGUAGCGGUGAAAUGCGUAGAUAUCAGGAGGAACACCGGUGGUGCAGACGGCUCUCUGGACCGUAACUGACGCUGAGACACGAAAGCGUGGGUAGCAAACAGG
This 253-nucleotide ribosomal RNA is filed under the name uncultured bacterium. RNAcentral's name for it is "partial 16S ribosomal RNA". It matches the Rfam family "Bacterial small subunit ribosomal RNA", at positions 524 to 776 of the family's 1533-position model. The record is from RNAcentral.